Long non-coding RNA from Astyanax mexicanus (Mexican tetra), 3129 nucleotides. RefSeq lists it as uncharacterized. The record is from RefSeq and is a predicted model, not a curated record. NCBI's taxonomy places the organism in Eukaryota, Metazoa, Chordata, Actinopteri, Characiformes, Acestrorhamphidae. The transcript has 2 exons.
AGAAGCUGCAGAUGUCGUGUGGAGGAGGGAGGGCUUGAUCCUCUGUGGAACCUACAUGGAGUCCUUCCCUCAGGAAGCACAUGAAGGCUAUAUCUACUUUAGGAUUGUGCACUGAUCAGCCGUGGCGCAGAAGCUGCAGAUGUUGUGUGGAGGAGGGAGGGCUUGAUCCUCUGUGGAACCUACAUGGAGUCUUUCCCUUGGGAGACACAUGAAAGCUGUAUCUACUGUAAGUCGAGGCCAAAUCCCAGAGCUUUACUGGCAGAGCAAUGCACAGCUUACCAUUCUACACAAUUAAACAGUGCCCUGUCCUUCAAGUCUCCAAUAGAGACACACCUCCACAGCUGCCUAUAUGGAGCCAUAUGAUUCAUCAGCCUCGCCAUCCUCCUCAAGAGCUUUUCUGAUGAGCUCUUGAGCUCUGUCUUUGGCAGUUGUUGAGUACUGGCAUAAUGGGGUUUUGGAUGAAUGUAUUUGAUUAUUUCUUUCAUCUUUCUCUGACUGUCUUGGAGAUCAGUCUUAAGAGCUAAUGGAAAAAAAAAACUAUGAGUGUGUGAAUAUGAGUGAGUCAUCACCAAGUCUGGGAAUGUGCUAUAAGCCCCAAAAGGUCAGGGUCAAUGACAUGUGAACUCAGUUUGUUCUAUGUGUGUAAUUAAAAAAAAUAGUUUAUUUCAAAUUUGUAUCCCAUUUUCUCCCCAAUUUACUAUCACUGUUGAUGCUCCAACACUGGGGUGAGGGUGAAGACUAGCACACACCACCAAUGAUGCAGCAUUGUCGAGUAGAAUCACAGCGCACUCGGAGGAAAGCACAACAACUCGGUUCUGAUACAUCAGCUCACAGACGCAGCCUUGUGAUGGUCGACAUCAACCUUUGGAGUGAUGUGGGUACAGAGCAUCAUCCACCCACCCAGAGAGAGCAAAACGAAUUGAGCUCUCUUAGGGCUCUGGCAGCUGAUGGCAAGCUGCAUGACCAGGAUUCAAAUGAGCAAUCUCCUGAUCAUAGUGGCAACGCCUUAGUCCGCUCCUUGUGUGUAAUUUUUAAUGCAAACGAAUUACAUCAUGUAUUCAAUAGAUAUUGUAGUUCAUAGUAAAAAGCUCCUUUAUUUGGGUUAAUAGAACACUGUGCAUUCAUACUUAGAUACAAACAUAACUAAUGUAUGUCAUACCAGAAUCAACACCCACAGUUACUCAAAAAUAUGAAGCUAUUAAGACGCAAAUUAAGCGCAAUUAAUUUGGUGUGUGCUCUCUUAGGGCUCUGGCAGCUGAUGGCAAGCUGCAUGACCAGGAUUCUAACCAGUAAUCUUCGAUCAUAGUGGCAACGCCUUAGUUUGCAGUUGUGUGUCAUUUUUAAUGCAAACAAAUUACACUGCGACUUCAAUAGAUAAUUUAGUGUUUUGUGAAAAACGAAUUUAUUUGGGCUCAUAGAACACUAUGCAUUAAUAUUUAGAUACAAUACAUAACUUAUAUAUGCAGCACCCACAGCUUCUCAAAAAUAUGAAGCUAUUAGGACUGUCAAAUAGCAUAAUUAAUUUGGAGACAAAUUAAUGAACUAAAAAACAAUAAUAGAUCAAUUUUUCACCUGGAAGUAAAAUAAUCAUUUACUGUAACCCUGAGAAUGUAGACAAGCUUGUUUGUCUCAGUAACUUGUUGAGAGAGGUGUAAGAAGUCAUAAAUUGUCAUUAUGAGCCAAGGUCCGAUUUAAACCCGACCUUUUAUUAGUAAGUAUAACGUUAAAACUAAGCUUUUUAUGAAUAUUUUGGGCUGUUUGAAUGAGCUAAAUCUGUUGAGAAUGAUGUUAAUUAACACUGCAACACUGAAGAAGCACAGGCCUAUUAUUUAAGAGACCUGCUUAUUAAGAACAGCUGCACACAGCACUGCAAGUCAAAUGUGUAAUGCAGACAAGUGUAGGAGCUCACGUGUGUGAUUUGUGCUACUUUUUUUUAAAAACACUAUUUGAUUUUGUUACUUUGCUUUAUUUUGAUUAUUACACCAUAAUUUUAUAUAAAAUAAAAAUAGCUUUAAAAAACAGACGACACAGACCAUUUUCUUGAGCUCGACCUGGCCCGAGUUCGGGUCGGGCUCGGACAGAGAAUCUAAACUCUAGUAAGAAGCAAGGAAUAGACCAAUUGUGAUAAAUAAAAUAAUAAAAGUGAUUUUGAUUGCCACCACUGAUAUAAAUAUAAUUUCAAUUUGCCAAUUUAACAUUGAUCAUUUUAUUUACAAUUAAAUAUCCAUUAGUAAAAUCUUAGUCUUGAGAAGCGACAUCUCAACAGCACUACUCAGCCCACUUAAUGGCUUAAUUUCUCACCUGGAAGUGACAUAAUCAUUUACUGUAACUCUGAGAAUGGAGACGAGCUUGUUUGUCUCAGUAACUGGUUUAAGUAAAAGGUUUAAGAAACAAGAAAUAGAUUCAUUGUUUCUCUGAAACAUUAGUACAUUAGGAGAUGAAGGUGGAAUAUGGAGCUAGUGUUCAUUUCCACUAAAAUUCAUUCAUUAAUACAAUUUCUUAUUAAGUGAUUGAGAACACUAAUAUACAUUAUAAAAAUGUGUUAUUUUUUAACAAAAUUAUUUACUGUAACUCUGAGAAUGUAGACACAUCAGUUCUGUCACUGUCUGUCUGUCUGCCAAAAAACUCAAGUGCUCUCACAAAAGACUCCAUUUCCCAGGAUACACCUGCUUCUAACCUCCCAGAUGUUCCUGAACACGUGACACCUCUACGUUCUAGCUCGCUGGCUUUCUGAUUAGUUCAUGUGUCUUCCCCAGUAUAAAUACCCCCCGUUUUUAAUUCCUAUUUGCCUGGCAUUAAAUCUAUUUCAUGGCUCUUUUACCUUGUGGUUCUUAUGUUUAUUGGUUGUUACCUAAAUUUUUUUGCUUUUCCGACUACCCCUUUUUGCCUAGCCCUUUAUUGUUUGUUUGUUUGUUUACUUGUUGCCUAUUGUUUUGCACGUUAGACUACCUUUUUGCCUUACCCCAUUGAUUGUUUCUUUUUUUUUCCGAUUUCCUGUGUAUGACCUCAUUGCCUGCUCACCCUGGUAUAUUGUUUAUUCAUACUGUCCUUUGGUUAUUUAUCCUGCCUGUCCCUGACUAUUCUCAUAAGCCUAAUUCCCUGUUUAAUAAAUUGUGUGUUUGUUAUCCA